UGUGUGUUAGUGGAAGCGUCUGGAAAGGCGCGCGAUACAGGGUGACAGCCCCGUACACAAAAAUGCACAUGCUGUGAGCUCGAUGAGUAGGGCGGGACACGUGGUAUCCUGUCUGAAUAUGGGGGGACCAUCCUCCAAGGCUAAAUACUCCUGACUGACCGAUAGUGAACCAGUACCGUGAGGGAAAGGCGAAAAGAACCCCGGCGAGGGGAGUGAAAAAGAACCUGAAACCGUGUACGUACAAGCAGUGGGAGCACGCUUCGGCGUGUGACUGCGUACCUUUUGUAUAAUGGGUCAGCGACUUAUAUUCUGUAGCAAGGUUAACCGAAUAGGGGAGCCGAAGGGAAACCGAGUCUUAACUGGGCGUUAAGUUGCAGGGUAUAGACCCGAAACCCGGUGAUCUAGCCAUGGGCAGGUUGAAGGUUGGGUAACACUAACUGGAGGACCGAACCGACUAAUGUUGAAAAAUUAGCGGAUGACUUGUGGCUGGGGGUGAAAGGCCAAUCAAACCGGGAGAUAGCUGGUUCUCCCCGAAAGCUAUUUAGGUAGCGCCUCGUGAAUUCAUCUCCGGGGGUAGAGCACUGUUUCGGCAAGGGGGUCAUCCCGACUUACCAACCCGAUGCAAACUGCGAAUACCGGAGAAUGUUAUCACGGGAGACACACGGCGGGUGCUAACGUCCGUCGUGAAGAGGGAAACAACCCAGACCGCCAGCUAAGGUCCCAAAGUCAUGGUUAAGUGGGAAACGAUGUGGGAAGGCCCAGACAGCCAGGAUGUUGGCUUAGAAGCAGCCAUCAUUUAAAGAAAGCGUAAUAGCUCACUGGUCGAGUCGGCCUGCGCGGAAGAUGUAACGGGGCUAAACCAUGCACCGAAGCUGCGGCAGCGACACUAUGUGUUGUUGGGUAGGGGAGCGUUCUGUAAGCCUGCGAAGGUGGCCUGUGAGGGUUGCUGGAGGUAUCAGAAGUGCGAAUGCUGACAUAAGUAACGAUAAAGCGGGUGAAAAGCCCGCUCGCCGGAAGACCAAGGGUUCCUGUCCAACGUUAAUCGGGGCAGGGUGAGUCGACCCCUAAGGCGAGGCCGAAAGGCGUAGUCGAUGGGAAACAGGUUAAUAUUCCUGUACUUGGUGUUACUGCGAAGGGGGGACGGAGAAGGCUAUGUUGGCCGGGCGACGGUUGUCCCGGUUUAAGCGUGUAGGCUGGUUUUCCAGGCAAAUCCGGAAAAUCAAGGCUGAGGCGUGAUGACGAGGCACUACGGUGCUGAAGCAACAAAUGCCCUGCUUCCAGGAAAAGCCUCUAAGCAUCAGGUAACAUCAAAUCGUACCCCAAACCGACACAGGUGGUCAGGUAGAGAAUACCAAGGCGCUUGAGAGAACUCGGGUGAAGGAACUAGGCAAAAUGGUGCCGUAACUUCGGGAGAAGGCACGCUGAUAUGUAGGUGAAGCGACUUGCUCGUGGAGCUGAAAUCAGUCGAAGAUACCAGCUGGCUGCAACUGUUUAUUAAAAACACAGCACUGUGCAAACACGAAAGUGGACGUAUACGGUGUGACGCCUGCCCGGUGCCGGAAGGUUAAUUGAUGGGGUUAGCGGUAACGCGAAGCUCUUGAUCGAAGCCCCGGUAAACGGCGGCCGUAACUAUAACGGUCCUAAGGUAGCGAAAUUCCUUGUCGGGUAAGUUCCGACCUGCACGAAUGGCGUAAUGAUGGCCAGGCUGUCUCCACCCGAGACUCAGUGAAAUUGAACUCGCUGUGAAGAUGCAGUGUACCCGCGGCAAGACGGAAAGACCCCGUGAACCUUUACUAUAGCUUGACACUGAACAUUGAGCCUUGAUGUGUAGGAUAGGUGGGAGGCUUUGAAGUGUGGACGCCAGUCUGCAUGGAGCCGACCUUGAAAUACCACCCUUUAAUGUUUGAUGUUCUAACGUUGGCCCCUGAUCGGGGUUGCGGACAGUGUCUGGUGGGUAGUUUGACUGGGGCGGUCUCCUCCUAAAGAGUAACGGAGGAGCACGAAGGUUGGCUAAUCCUGGUCGGACAUCAGGAGGUUAGUGCAAUGGCAUAAGCCAGCUUGACUGCGAGCGUGACGGCGCGAGCAGGUGCGAAAGCAGGUCAUAGUGAUCCGGUGGUUCUGAAUGGAAGGGCCAUCGCUCAACGGAUAAAAGGUACUCCGGGGAUAACAGGCUGAUACCGCCCAAGAGUUCAUAUCGACGGCGGUGUUUGGCACCUCGAUGUCGGCUCAUCACAUCCUGGGGCUGAAGUAGGUCCCAAGGGUAUGGCUGUUCGCCAUUUAAAGUGGUACGCGAGCUGGGUUUAGAACGUCGUGAGACAGUUCGGUCCCUAUCUGCCGUGGGCGCUGGAGAACUGAGGGGGGCUGCUCCUAGUACGAGAGGACCGGAGUGGACGCAUCACUGGUGUUCGGGUUGUCAUGCCAAUGGCACUGCCCGGUAGCUAAAUGCGGAAGAGAUAAGUGCUGAAAGCAUCUAAGCACGAAACUUGCCCCGAGAUGAGUUCUCCCUGACUCCUUGAGAGUCCUGAAGGAACGUUGAAGACGACGACGUUGAUAGGCCGGGUGUGUAAGCGCAGCGAUGCGUUGAGCUAACCGGUACUAAUGAACCGUGAGGCUUAACCUUA
This 2621-nucleotide ribosomal RNA is filed under the name Escherichia coli. RNAcentral describes it as "partial 23S ribosomal RNA". It matches the Rfam family "Bacterial large subunit ribosomal RNA", at positions 323 to 2925 of the family's 2925-position model. Lineage: Bacteria; Pseudomonadati; Pseudomonadota; Gammaproteobacteria; Enterobacterales; Enterobacteriaceae. The record is from RNAcentral.